AUAAUUGAUUUGAUUUGAUUAUUGGGAAGAUUACCGAUGAUGAUUAUUGCGAAAAUAUG
This 59-nucleotide small RNA is filed under the name Arabidopsis thaliana (thale cress). RNAcentral's name for it is "ATSL103420". Lineage: Eukaryota; Viridiplantae; Streptophyta; Magnoliopsida; Brassicales; Brassicaceae. The record is from RNAcentral.